ACUCCUACGGGAGGCAGCAGUGGGGAAUAUUGCACAAUGGGCGAAAGCCUGAUCCAGCAAUGCCGCGUGUGUGAAGAAGGCCUUCGGGUUGUAAAGCACUUUUGUCCGGAAAGAAAUCCUUGGCUCUAAUACAGCCGGGGGAUGACGGUACCGGAAGAAUAAGCACCGGCUAACUACGUGCCAGCAGCCGCGGUAAUACGUAGGGUGCAAGCGUUAAUCGGAAUUACUGGGCGUAAAGCGUGCGCAGGCGGUUUGCUAAGACCGAUGUGAAAUCCCCGGGCUCAACCUGGGAACUGCAUUGGUGACUGGCAGGCUAGAGUAUGGCAGAGGGGGUAGAAUUCCACGUGUAGCAGUGAAAUGCGUAGAGAUGUGGAGGAAUACCGAUGGCGAAGGCAGCCCCUGGGUCAAUACUGACGCUCAUGCACGAAAGCGUGGGGAGCAAACAGGAUUAGAUACCCUGGUAGACAUCA
Molecule: ribosomal RNA, 470 nt
Filed under: uncultured bacterium
Lineage: Bacteria
Description: bacterial SSU rRNA
Rfam family: Bacterial small subunit ribosomal RNA
Source: RNAcentral